RNAcentral lists this ribosomal RNA (331 nucleotides) under uncultured eukaryote. RNAcentral's name for it is "SSU rRNA". It matches the Rfam family "Eukaryotic small subunit ribosomal RNA", at positions 1471 to 1801 of the family's 1831-position model. The record is from RNAcentral.
CCUUAGAUGUUCUGGGCCGCACGCGCGCUACACUGAUACGUGCAUCGAGCUUACAACCUUGGCUGGGAGGCCUGGGUAAUCUUUUCAAAUCGUAUCGUGCUGGGGAUAGAUCAUUGUAAUUAUUAAUCUUCAACGAGGAAUUCCUAGUAAGCGCGAGUCAUCAACUCGCACUGAUUACGUCCCUGCCCUUUGUACACACCGCCCGUCGCUGCUACCGAUUGAAUGCAUUAGUGAGUCUUGGGGAUUGUUUCUCCUGAGGGUAAAACUUCGGGUUAAGUGAGAACCAAUACAAACUUGCGCAUUUAGAGGAAGCAAAAGUCGUAACAAGGUC